RNAcentral lists this ribosomal RNA (253 nucleotides) under uncultured bacterium. Its description in RNAcentral is "partial 16S ribosomal RNA". It matches the Rfam family "Bacterial small subunit ribosomal RNA", at positions 524 to 776 of the family's 1533-position model. The record is from RNAcentral.
UACGAAGGGGGCGAGCGUUGUUCGGAAUCACUGGGCGUAAAGGGCGCGUAGGCGGCCCUCUUAGUCGCGUGUGAAAGCCCCGGGCUCAACCUGGGAACGGCGCGCGAAACGGGAGGGCUGGAGUUCGGGAGAGGAGAGUGGAAUUCCCAGUGUAGAGGUGAAAUUCGUAGAUAUUGGGAAGAACACCGGUGGCGAAGGCGGCGUUCUGGACUGCAACUGACACUGAGAAACGAAAGCCAGGGUAGCAAACGGG